RNAcentral lists this ribosomal RNA (484 nucleotides) under uncultured Oscillospiraceae bacterium. RNAcentral describes it as "partial 16S ribosomal RNA". The record is from RNAcentral. Lineage: Bacteria; Bacillati; Bacillota; Clostridia; Eubacteriales; Oscillospiraceae.
CGCGUAGUUAGCCGGAGCUUUCUUGCAGGGUACCGUCAUUUUCGUCCCCUGCGACAGAACUUUACAACCCGAAGGCCGUCUUCAUUCACGCGGCAUCGCUGCAUCAGGGUUUCCCCCAUUGUGCAAUAUCCCCCACUGCUGCCUCCCGUAGGAGUCUGGGCCGUGUCUCAGUCCCAAUGUGGCCGUUCAACCUCUCAGUCCGGCUACCGAUUGUCGGUUUGGUGGGCCGUUACCCCGCCAACUGCCUAAUCGGACGCGAGCCCAUCUUUCAGCGGAUUGCUCCUUUGAUAUCAGUGCCAUGCGACUCCGAUAUUUUAUGCGGUAUUAGCGUUCGUUUCCAAACGUUAUCCCCCUCUGAAAGGCAGGUUGCUCACGUGUUACUCACCCGUCCGCCACUAAGUUCAGAUGCGAGCAUCUUCACUCCGUUCGACUUGCAUGUGUUAGGCGUGCCGCCAGCGUUCGUCCUGAGCCAGGAUCAAACUCU